Non-coding RNA from Caenorhabditis elegans, 21 nucleotides. The record is from Ensembl. NCBI's taxonomy places the organism in Eukaryota, Metazoa, Nematoda, Chromadorea, Rhabditida, Rhabditidae.
UAUUCUCAAGAUAACUUAUGA